Molecule: long non-coding RNA, 426 nt
Filed under: Brassica napus (rape)
Lineage: Eukaryota; Viridiplantae; Streptophyta; Magnoliopsida; Brassicales; Brassicaceae
Description: long non-coding RNA (BNAP_LNC014420)
Source: RNAcentral
GCCACCUCAGAUUCCGUAAUCUUUGACUAACGAAAAAUAGUCAAUGUAUGUAAAAACUGAUUUUUGUUAGUUCGUGUAGUAAAUUUAAAUUAAUUGAGUGUUAAUGUAGGUAUUCGAACAAGGUCUGAAUGUAUGUACUGAUAGGGAACGCGGUCAUGUAUGGAUGUAUGAAUUGGUUGAUUUCUCGUGAAUGUGUAUGGAUGUUACGGCAGUGUAGAAAAGAGAAGAUGUUGAUUUUUUUAAAAAGGACCACCUUCAAACUAUUACUCCCUCCGUUUCAAAGUACCUCUGUUUCAAAGUACAUGGAGUUUUAAGAUUGUCCACAGCUAUUAAGAAACUUAUUUUUUAUCUUAAAAAUACCAUUAAAAUAUAAAUUAAAAAUUAUUCAACGAAUCACAAAACAUACUACAAAAUAUCAUUAGUUAC